Long non-coding RNA from Anthonomus grandis grandis, 842 nucleotides. RefSeq lists it as uncharacterized. NCBI's taxonomy places the organism in Eukaryota, Metazoa, Arthropoda, Insecta, Coleoptera, Curculionidae. The transcript has 2 exons. The record is from RefSeq and is a predicted model, not a curated record.
AAGAGAAGUAGUUCCCUGUUUGGGUUUAUAUAUCCAGUGACAAUUACAUCAGAGAAAAAGUCUUUGGCGAAGUAAUGGAGCAUUUUCCAACGACCGGUGUAAUCUAGCAAAAAAAAUGGAUGUUAUUUUAUAUUUUUUGUGGACUUUUACUAAUGUACCAACUUAAAGUAAGUAUAUUAUACUCUUUUUGUUAAUCUUAGAUAUAUUAGUUGGUAACUCAUGAUCAACGUACGAUGUUGUGUAUGUUAUAAACAAUGUACCGCCGAGAAUAUACCAGUUGUUCUUCGUCAUACGGGAAUUAUGUUGAUGGCGCAGGCGACGGGCACUCUGCGCGACCUCUCUGAAGAUACGUGGAAGGUUAACGAAUCUUCCGGAAUAAUGGUCUAGCUAAUAUAUAAAGAACCCUCGCCACUAGGAGGCCAGUUCAACUUGGAAUAUUGGCGCGACUUUUAAAUCGAAAUAAAUAGUAUGUGUACGUGUAUAAAAGGCGUGUUCCAUUUAAGAAACAUAUCAGUCAGUAUGUUGCAGAGCUCUAUAAACUAAAUAUUAAACAAAGUCAACAAGUGUAUAUGGGUUCCAUGGUCCAUGAAAUAGCCAAAACUUUAAUACCUGAAUAUUUAGUUGAACUUAUUAAAUUUCAUAGAGACCGACAUGAAAUUAAUAUCAGACGAAUAGAUAAUAUCAAUAUUGCUAUUAAAAUUAUUAGUUCUAUUAUUAUAACAUUUCUUUUGUUCUCAGUUUAUUAUUUGAUAAUUGUUAAAAACUGCUAUACGGAUAUAUUACCUAUUAUCUAUUUGUAAGCCGAUAAAAGAUUUAUUAAAUCAGAUGAUUAUUUUUAUGCA